This 338-nucleotide unclassified non-coding RNA is filed under the name soil metagenome. RNAcentral's name for it is "partial contains 5.8S ribosomal RNA, internal transcribed spacer 2, and large subunit ribosomal RNA". The stretch from base 1 to 120 matches the Rfam family "5.8S ribosomal RNA", at positions 35 to 154 of the family's 154-position model. The record is from RNAcentral.
GAUGAAGAACGCAGCGAAACGCGAUAAGUAAUGUGAAUUGCAGAAUUCAGUGAAUCAUCGAAUCUUUGAACGCACAUUGCGCCCGCCAGCAUUCUGGCGGGCAUGCCUGUUCGAGCGUCAUUUCAACCCUCAAGCUCUGCUUGGUGUUGGGGCCCUACGGUUGACGUAGGCCCUUAAAGGUAGUGGCGGACCCUCUCGGAGCCUCCUUUGCGUAGUAACUAACGUCUCGCAUUGGGAUUCGGAGGGACUCUUGCCGUAAAACCCCCAAAUUUUCUAAUGGUUGACCUCGGAUCAGGUAGGAAUACCCGCUGAACUUAAGCAUAUCAAUAAGCGGAGGA